GACAGAGGGUGCAAGCGUUGUUCAGAAUCAUUGGGCGUAAAGGGCGCGUAGGCGGUUUUGUAAGCCAGAUGUGAAAGCCCCGGGCUUAACCUGGGAAUGGCAUUUGGGACUGCAAGGCUUGAGUGCGGCAGAGGAGACUGGAAUUCCUGGUGUAGCAGUGAAAUGCGUAGAUAUCAGGAGGAAUACCGAUGGCGAAGGCAGGUCUCUGGGCUGACACUGACGCUCAUGCACGAAAGCGUGGGGAGCAAACAGG
Molecule: ribosomal RNA, 253 nt
Filed under: uncultured bacterium
Lineage: Bacteria
Description: partial 16S ribosomal RNA
Rfam family: Bacterial small subunit ribosomal RNA
Source: RNAcentral